CCUACGGGAGGCAGCAGUGAGGAAUAUUGGACAAUGGGCGCAAGCCUGAUCCAGCCAUGCCGCGUGCAGGAAGACGGUCCUAUGGAUUGUAAACUGCUUUUGUACGGGAAGAAACACUCCUACGUGUAGGAGCUUGACGGUACCGUAAGAAUAAGGAUCGGCUAACUCCGUGCCAGCAGCCGCGGUAAUACGGAGGAUCCAAGCGUUAUCCGGAAUCAUUGGGUUUAAAGGGUCCGUAGGCGGUUUAGUAAGUCAGUGGUGAAAGCCCAUCGCUCAACGAUGGAACGGCCAUUGAUACUGCUAGACUUGAAUUACUAGGAAGUAACUAGAAUAUGUAGUGUAGCGGUGAAAUGCUUAGAUAUUACAUGGAAUACCAAUUGCGAAGGCAGGUUACUACUAGUGGAUUGACGCUGAUGGACGAAAGCGUGGGGAGCGAACAGGAUUAGAUACCCUGGUAGUCCACGCCGUAAACGAUGGAUACUAGCUGUUCGGGGACAACCUGAGUGGCUAAGCGAAAGUGAUAGUAUCCACCUGGGAGUACGUUCGCAGAANAGAAGAGAAGAAGUAGAGCGNGAGAGNGACGAGACGACGACGAGGAGGAGG
RNAcentral lists this ribosomal RNA (603 nucleotides) under uncultured bacterium. Its description in RNAcentral is "bacterial SSU rRNA". The stretch from base 1 to 532 matches the Rfam family "Bacterial small subunit ribosomal RNA", at positions 338 to 873 of the family's 1533-position model. The record is from RNAcentral.